UACGUAGGGUCCGAGCGUUGUCCGGAUUUACUGGGCGUAAAGCGCGCGCAGGUGGUUCAUUAAGCCCGGCGUGAAAGCCCCCGGCUCAACCGGGGAAUGGCGCCCUAAACUGGCGAGCUAGAGUGAGAUAGGGGUGUGUGGAACUUCCGGUGGAGCGGUGAAAUGUGUUGAUAUCGGAAGGAACGCCGGUGGCGAAAGCGACACACUGGAUCUUGUCUGACGCUGAGGCACGAAAGCCAGGGGAGCGAACGGG
Molecule: ribosomal RNA, 253 nt
Filed under: uncultured bacterium
Lineage: Bacteria
Description: partial 16S ribosomal RNA
Rfam family: Bacterial small subunit ribosomal RNA
Source: RNAcentral